GCCUGCAGAGCGCGUUUCUUCUCUCUGUACUCUGCAGGAACGAUGAUUAAGCUUUUUAAAGUGAAGGAAAAGCAGAGAGAGAUUGCAGCGAAUGCCAAUGGAAAACCUCCUGUCAAGAAGCAAACUGCUGGAGAAUUGCGUCUUCAAAAAGAUAUCAGUGAAUUGAACCUACCAAAAACGUGUAGUAUAUCGUUUCCUAAUGGCAAGGAUGACUUGAUGAACUUUGAGGUCACUAUUCAUCCUGAUGAAGGAUAUUAUCUAGGUGGUACGUUUCUCUUCUCUUUCCAAGUUUCCCCUGUCUACCCUCACGAGCCACCAAAAGUGAAGUGCAAGACAAAGGUGUAUCAUCCUAAUAUUGACUUGGAAGGAAAUGUUUGUCUCAAUAUUUUAAGAGAGGACUGGAAGCCCGUUCUGAAUAUCAACACUAUAAUAUACGGAUUGUUUCAUCUUUUCACGCAACCGAAUCAUGAAGACCCCCUCAACCAUGAUGCUGCUGCUGUUUUAAGAGAUAACCCGAAGAUGUUUGAAUCCAACGUGAGAAGAGCCAUGGCUGGGGGCUAUGUGGGACAAACUUACUUCACUCGUUGCAUGUAGAUUCUACAUGAAUUGUAAAGCACCAGAUACAUUAUUUGAAGCAUGGGCUCCGCAAGGUCAUUGAACUUCUCUGGUAAGGUAAUGUCUAAUGUGUUGAGGACUGUCUGAUCACCGGCGCAACACGAAUUCCUUUGUGAUGGAGGUAGAACUUUGUUGUGUUUGAAGUACUGGUUUCAAACGGAAGUUGGACUGGAAACUGAAACUCUUAUCUGUGUAUGUAUUUCCUCUAAUUUAUCUUGAAAAGACAGGUUGCUCUUUUGCUAUCAGUUGAAACUAUAAGGUAUGUUUUUGGAGCCUCCCUUCUUUUCUUUAUCAGAGUCUACUACCUG
RNAcentral lists this unclassified non-coding RNA (923 nucleotides) under Hevea brasiliensis (rubber tree). Lineage: Eukaryota; Viridiplantae; Streptophyta; Magnoliopsida; Malpighiales; Euphorbiaceae. The record is from RNAcentral.